The submitters of this non-coding RNA (169 nucleotides) gave its source as unclassified sequences. The record is from Rfam.
UACGAAGUGACCUAGAUUUCUGUUAGAAUUAUGCCAUGAAACACAGAAAUGCCCUGCCAUGGAAGGCAGGGCAAGGCGUUAUGCGCCACGGACGGCGCAUAAAAGCCGGUUUCGUCAAGCAUAGAAAACCUUAAAGCAUAAUUCUUACAGAAUCUUGGCCACGUAGUAC